GUUGGUGGGGGGAUGGCCUACCAAGGCGACGACGGGUAGCCGGCCUGAGAGGGCGACCGGCCACACUGGGACUGAGACACGGCCCAGACUCCUACGGGAGGCAGCAGUGGGGAAUAUUGCGCAAUGGGCGGAAGCCUGACGCAGCGACGCCGCGUGGGGGAUGACGGCCUUCGGGUUGUAAACCUCUUUCGGCCCCGACGAAGCGUGAGUGACGGUAGGGGUAGAAGAAGCACCGGCCAACUACGUGCCAGCAGCCGCGGUAAUACGUAGGGUGCGAGCGUUGUCCGGAAUUAUUGGGCGUAAAGAGCUCGUAGGCGGUCUGUCGCGUCGAUCGUGAAAACUUGGGGCUUAACCCUGAGCUUGCGGUCGAUACGGGCAUGACUGGAGUUCGGCAGGGGAGACUGGAAUUCCUGGUGUAGCGGUGAAAUGCGCAGAUAUCAGGAGGAACACCGGUGGCGAAGGCGGGUCUCUGGGCCGAUACUGACGCUGAGGAGCGAAAGCGUGGGGAGCGAACAGGAUUAGAUACCCUGGUAGUCCACGCCGUAAACGGUGGGCGCUAGGUGUGGGGGCCAUUCCACGGUCUCUGUGCCGUAGCUAACGCAUUAAGCGCCCCGCCUGGGGAGUACGGCCGCAAGGCUAAAACUCAAAGGAAUUGACG
RNAcentral lists this ribosomal RNA (658 nucleotides) under uncultured Actinomycetes bacterium. RNAcentral describes it as "SSU rRNA". It matches the Rfam family "Bacterial small subunit ribosomal RNA", at positions 248 to 915 of the family's 1533-position model. The record is from RNAcentral. Lineage: Bacteria; Bacillati; Actinomycetota; Actinomycetes.